ACGCUGGCGGCGUGCUUGACACAUGCAAGUCGAACGGUGAAGAGGAGCUUGCUCCUUGGAUCAGUGGCGAACGGGUGAGUAACACGUGAGUAACCUGCCCUUGACUCUGGGAUAAGCACUGGAAACGGUGUCUAAUACCGGAUACGAGCUUCAGCCGCAUGGCUAGGAGUUGGAAAGAAUUUCGGUCAAGGAUGGACUCGCGGCCUAUCAGCUAGUUGGUGAGGUAAUGGCUCACCAAGGCGACGACGGGUAGCCGGCCUGAGAGGGUGACCGGCCACACUGGGACUGAGACACGGCCCAGACUCCUACGGGAGGCAGCAGUGGGGAAUAUUGCACAAUGGGCGCAAGCCUGAUGCAGCAACGCCGCGUGAGGGACGACGGCCUUCGGGUUGUAAACCUCUUUUAGUAGGGAAGAAGCGAAAGUGACGGUACCUGCAGAAAAAGCACCGGCUAACUACGUGCCAGCAGCCGCGGUAAUACGUAGGGUGCAAGCGUUGUCCGGAAUUAUUGGGCGUAAAGAGCUCGUAGGCGGUUUGUCGCGUCUGCUGUGAAAACCCGAGGCUCAACCUCGGGCCUGCAGUGGGUACGGGCAGACUAGAGUGCGGUAGGGGAGAUUGGAAUUCCUGGUGUAGCGGUGGAAUGCGCAGAUAUCAGGAGGAACACCAAUGGCGAAGGCAGAUCUCUGGGCCGUAACUGACGCUGAGGAGCGAAAGCAUGGGGAGCGAAC
Molecule: ribosomal RNA, 727 nt
Filed under: uncultured bacterium
Lineage: Bacteria
Description: bacterial SSU rRNA
Rfam family: Bacterial small subunit ribosomal RNA
Source: RNAcentral